UACCCAAAAAGAAGACUUUGGAGCUCUCAAAAACCACCUAGUGUAUGGUAAAGUACAUGAGAAGUGACGUGUCUUUGGGCAGCUGGCCAUCUUUGUCGAUAUGCGGGUGAUGGUGUUU
This is a non-coding RNA of Caenorhabditis elegans, 118 nucleotides long. NCBI's taxonomy places the organism in Eukaryota, Metazoa, Nematoda, Chromadorea, Rhabditida, Rhabditidae. The record is from Ensembl.